UACGGGGGGAGCAAGCGUUGUUCGGAUUUACUGGGCGUAAAGGGCGCGUAGGCGGUCAGCACAAGUCAGUUGUGAAAUCUCCGGGCUUAACUCGGAAAGGUCAACUGAUACUGUGCGACUAGAGUGCGGAAGGGGCAACUGGAAUUCUCGGUGUAGCGGUGAAAUGCGUAGAUAUCGAGAGGAACACCUGCGGCGAAGGCGGGUUGCUGGGCCGACACUGACACUGAGGCGCGAAAGCGUGGGGAGCGAACAGG
This 254-nucleotide ribosomal RNA is filed under the name uncultured bacterium. RNAcentral's name for it is "partial 16S ribosomal RNA". It matches the Rfam family "Bacterial small subunit ribosomal RNA", at positions 524 to 776 of the family's 1533-position model. The record is from RNAcentral.